UAAUGCUCGCCGCUGUUAGGGAAGGGUAGCAAGGGCCGUCAUACAACCCCCACACACAAGGUUGACCUCGGAUCAGGUAGGGAUACCCGCUGAACUUAAGCAUAUCAAUAAGCGGAGGAAAAGAAACCAACAGGGAUUGCCUCAGUAACGGCGAGUGAAGCGGCAACAGCUCAAAUUUGAAAGCUGGCUCCUUCGGGGCCCGCGUUGUAAUUUGUAGAGGAUGCUUCGGGCGCGGCACCGGUCUAAGUUCUCUGGAACGAGACGUCAUAGAGGGUGAGAAUCCCGUAUGUGACUGGCUGCCUGUGCCCAUGUGAAGCUCCUUCGACGAGUCGAGUUGUUUGGGAAUGCAGCUCAAAAUGGGAGGUGUACUCCUUCUAAAGCUAAAUAUUGGCCAGAGACCGAUAGCGCACAAGUAGAGUGAUCGAAAGAUGAAAAGCACUUUGGAAAGAGAGUUAAACAGUACGUGAAAUUGUUGAAAGGGAAGCGCUUGCAAUCAGACUUGCGCGGCGUCGAUCAGCCUGGGUUCUCCCUGGUGCACUCGGCGCCGCUCAGGCCAGCAUCAGUUUCGGCGGUGGGAUAAAGGCCUAGGGAACGUGGGUCCCCUCGGGGACCGUUAUAGCCCUAGGUGCAAUGCCGCCUGCCGGGACUGAGGACCGCGCU
This 660-nucleotide ribosomal RNA is filed under the name Leotiomycetes sp. genotype 215. RNAcentral describes it as "eukaryotic LSU rRNA". It matches the Rfam family "Eukaryotic large subunit ribosomal RNA", at positions 1 to 601 of the family's 3401-position model. The record is from RNAcentral. Lineage: Eukaryota; Fungi; Ascomycota; Leotiomycetes.